GACGUAGGGCGCGAGCGUUGUCCGGAUUUAUUGGGCGUAAAGAGCUCGUAGGCGGCUUGUUGCGUCGGCUGUGAAAACCCAUGGCUCAACCGUGGGCUUGCAGCCGAUACGGGCAGACUAGAGUGCGGUAGGGGAGACUGGAAUUCCUGGUGUAGCGGUGGAAUGCGCAGAUAUCAGGAGGAACACCGAUGGCGAAGGCAGGUCUCUGGGCCGCAACUGACGCUGAGGAGCGAAAGCAUGGGGAGCGAACCGG
Molecule: ribosomal RNA, 253 nt
Filed under: uncultured bacterium
Lineage: Bacteria
Description: partial 16S ribosomal RNA
Rfam family: Bacterial small subunit ribosomal RNA
Source: RNAcentral